RNAcentral lists this ribosomal RNA (492 nucleotides) under uncultured bacterium. RNAcentral's name for it is "partial 16S ribosomal RNA". It matches the Rfam family "Bacterial small subunit ribosomal RNA", at positions 29 to 507 of the family's 1533-position model. The record is from RNAcentral.
AGUGAACGCUGGCGGUAGGCCUAACACAUGCAAGUCGAACGGCAGCACGGUAAGAGCUUGCUCUUACGGGUGGCGAGUGGCGGACGGGUGAGGAAUACAUCGGAAUCUACUUUUUCGUGGGGGAUAACGUAGGGAAACUUACGCUAAUACCGCAUACGACCUACGGGUGAAAGCAGGGGAUCUUCGGACCUUGCGCGAUUGAAUGAGCCGAUGUCGGAUUAGCUAGUUGGCGGGGUAAAGGCCCACCAAGGCGACGAUCCGUAGCUGGUCUGAGAGGAUGAUCAGCCACACUGGAACUGAGACACGGUCCAGACUCCUACGGGAGGCAGCAGUGGGGAAUAUUGGACAAUGGGCGCAAGCCUGAUCCAGCCAUACCGCGUGGGUGAAGAAGGCCUUCGGGUUGUAAAGCCCUUUUGUUGGGAAAGAACAGCAGCAGGUUAAUACCCCGCUGUUCUGACGGUACCCAAAGAAUAAGCACCGGCUAACUUCGUG